This 1906-nucleotide long non-coding RNA is filed under the name Homo sapiens (human). Its description in RNAcentral is "PREDICTED lncRNA (TCONS_00261009)". The record is from RNAcentral. Lineage: Eukaryota; Metazoa; Chordata; Mammalia; Primates; Hominidae.
UGAUGGUAAAUACCGAGUGUCGACUGGAUUGAAGGAUGCAAAGUAUUGAUCCUGGGUGUGUCUGUGAGGGUGUUGCCAAAGGAGGUUAACAUUUGAGUCAGUGGGCUGGGGAAGGCAGAUCCAACCUCAAUCUGGUGCGCCAUCUAAUAAGCUGCCAAUGAAUAUAAAGCAGGCAGAAAAACAUAAGAAGGUGAGACUGGCCUAGCCUCCCAGCCUGCAUCUUUCUCCCAUGCUGAAUGCUUCCUGUCCUCGAACAUCAGACUCCAAGUUCUUUAGUUUUGAGACUCGGACUGGCUUCCUUGCUCCUCAAGCUUGCAGACAGCCUAUUGUGGGACCUUGUGAUCAUAGAUCCUUGAUUAAUACAGAUGGGGUCCCACUAUGCUGCCCAGGCUGCUUUCAAACAGGGUCUUAACUCUGUCACCCAGGCUGGAGUGCAGUGGUGUGACCACAGCCACUGCAGGCUCAACCUCUGGGACUCAGGUGAUCCUCCCAUCUCAGCCUCCCAAGUAGCUGGGACUACAGGUUGCUUCUUCCAGAUCCCUUUUGAUCUACUUUCAGCUAUGGAUUCAUGAGAAUCAAGACUAAGCAGCCUGAAUUGAAGGAGUAACAGUAUCACCUAACAAUGAUUUUGCUGCCAUAGUAGCUGUUUGUAUACUGGCCAUAUGCCUAGGUAAAAUGAGGCCAGAUCACUCUCAAGAGUUUUCUAUCAGAGUUGGUGGUGAACUACUGCUCACGGAUAAUGACGAGAAACCCCAGCUGAGGAGGCAAAUAUACUCAAGGAAAGUAAUAGUUUCCAAAUGCCUGGCAGUGCCAGGAAGGGGCCAUGUCCAUGGACCACUAUGUAAGGAUAUCUCAGUCUCUAGUCCAGCGUGGUUUAUGGUGCCAAAUAAGUGCCAGGUGAACUCACUACAUCUGACAAAAUCUCAAGGAACCAAGUUUACCAGAUAAUAUUUAUGAUUAUGUGAAAAAGACUGAGGAAAUCACUCAAGUGAUCCAUCAUACAGCACCUCCAGUUCCAAAGAAUACUGACUUACUUCAGCUGUACUGGUCUGGAGCUGCACAUUCUUUUCAGACAACUCUUGUUCCAGUGACUCUUCUCCUGUAACAGAGCCUCCUUCUUAGAAACUAUGGCCUCCCGUUUCUUUAAGUCUGCUUCCAGCUCCUCUAAUUCUUGGCGUUGGUUCAGAACUUUCUCUACUUCUUCAUCUAACCAUUUCUUUUGCUCAUCCAAUUUCUACAUUAAAAUUAAAAAAAAAGUUACUUGUUUUUCCUUCUGCCAUAAAAAUUAUAUGGUAAUAAUAGAAUUUCAGAUUGGCUGAAAUCUCUUAAAUGAACAUUUAAAAACUAUCACUCAGAGUAACUCAGGUAGCCGUCUGAGAUCCUAAAGACAUCAGUGGUUCUAGUCAAGAUGUAGCUAUGUUGUUUUAUAAAGAAUUAAAAUUUACUCCCCAGAUAUGUUAAACAGUCUAGGAUUUUUUAGCCUGACGAAGAAAGGGCUGAUAAUUUUCUAUGCCUAUAUUAAGAACAUGCUGGAAUCUUUUACUCUGUUGUAGUGGUGCACAGUUCCAUCACAGCACUUACACUGGUGGCUGCCCUACGUAUCUAUCUCCCCAGCUUGAGCUCCUUGAUUGAUUGCAGGGGCUGUAGUUUUUACCCGUCUAUCCACAUGGCUGGUAUAUUGCCUGGGCCACAGUAGGCAUUCAAUAAAAUGUUAAAUGAAUGAGUGAAUGAAUGCCUGAUUCAGUCAGUCAAUGAAGUGAAUAAAUGAAUACACACAGUGGAAGACACAGAUGAUGGAGGAUGGAAGGAAAGCCAAUUUGCAUUGUAGCUUGUCAACCUCAAAUAAUUAUUUUUAAAAAAGAAAAAAAACAAAAAUAAAAAAUUGCUGAAAAGAUCUCCAAAACAA